Molecule: long non-coding RNA, 795 nt
Organism: Daphnia pulex (common water flea)
Lineage: Eukaryota; Metazoa; Arthropoda; Branchiopoda; Diplostraca; Daphniidae
Exons: 2
Source: RefSeq, a predicted model, not a curated record
AAUUAGAGUGGUUAUUAUUUUGGGUGUUGUUUUAGAAAUGCAUGUCAAACUUUUUGGCGCCAAAAACAAUUUCUAUAAAAAAAUAUGCAAAUUAAACCACCCCUCAUUUCUCGGGGGGGGUUUAGGUAUAAAAAGUAGGCAUGCAUUGUGUAGAAGAAGAAAGAAGGGCCCUCCCACCUGCUCCCACUUUCAGUGUCUAGUCAAGCGUUAACCUUGGAAGUGGAACAACCCAAAAAAUACCCGCUCCUCUAAACCCUCCUCCUCGGCUAGUCGGUGCUCACAUUUGCUCAUUGAUCGUCCCCUCAGUAUUACGUUCCUUUCGAAAUGGCCACGUCACAGUUUAUCUCCAAAGCGGCAUCUACCUCAAGUUCAUUGACUAAUAACCAGUCCAAAAACAACAACAAUAUUCAAGAAGCAGACAGCACUUACAGAGCAUUGAAUCACUGUUGCUUUUGCGGUAUUUUACUCGAUCCGAAAAAUUUAACUGUGAACGUUAACACACAGAGUAUCACUGUCUGGUGUAAUAAUUGUCGAAAAACGAACGCUUUGGGCAAAAUACGUCACGAUAAAGGAAAGGAGGAAAAAAGAAAAAUGUGAAGUACGCCCCACCAUCAGACCGUCCAAUCACAAAUCUAAUUUUCUAAAUUGAAAUCGAGAUCUUUACUACUCUACAUUGCGACUAUAUAGGCCUACAGUCAAGGCUCCAAUUGUUAUUUCCUCAUUUCUCGUGCUAUUAAAUGUGUGUAUUUUUUUAAAGAAAAAUGUCGAUGUUCGAUUAAUACAAUUCGCCUUCUA